CCACCAUCCCUCACUCUGCUCUUCAGAACUGCAAGACAACAAUGACAGGCCACCGUUUGCAGCCACCAGCAUGGUGGGACUUCUGUGCUGGCCCUGGGGUGUAAUCCACCUAUCUGACACAUACCCUGUCUCUCUGCUCUCUAGAAGGUAAGGCCACCAGCCCUCGGCUUCCAGACAGCACACACAGCAGCAGCAGCAGCAGCAUCUCCUUGCAAAUAACCCCUACUUGCUGAACCCUGAGCUCCUGGCAGAGCCUCCAAUAGGGAACUUGAGAGCAGCUUUGCUGGACUUGGGUCAGAAAACCCCGCCUGGUGAAAUCAGAUGGCCAGGGUCCUGGACCAAGAGCUGGAGGACCUGCCAGUGGAAACAAUCUCACACAAUCCUGUUAAGCACACACCACCAAGGAAUGGCGGGCCUCGGGACCGGGCUGCUUCCCCCCGGCCCUGCCCAGCCGAGCAGAUGGCGGCGUGGGCGGUAGGUACCAGCCUCCUGGCAAUCCGAACAUCUGUUCCCGUUAGAAAAUGCUAAUUGCCAUCAAUCAGGACAGCACCUACCCACAUUUACANGCAAGCGCACAUGCAAAAAAAAAAAAAAAAAAA
Molecule: long non-coding RNA, 599 nt
Filed under: Mus caroli (Ryukyu mouse)
Lineage: Eukaryota; Metazoa; Chordata; Mammalia; Rodentia; Muridae
Description: predicted gene 11750 (MGP_CAROLIEiJ_G0004833.1)
Source: RNAcentral